UUUCCUACACGACGCACAUCCGAGUUACAACCGACCGUGCAAACUAGAUUCAUCCAAUCUGGCAUCAGGACUCAUGCUCCAGAAGAGCAAGGCAUCCCCCAUCUUCGGUUUAACGGAUAAACCCUUCUUCCCACAAAUCUGAUACCAAGGGA
This is a long non-coding RNA of Rhodamnia argentea, 152 nucleotides long. RefSeq lists it as uncharacterized. The record is from RefSeq and is a predicted model, not a curated record. NCBI's taxonomy places the organism in Eukaryota, Viridiplantae, Streptophyta, Magnoliopsida, Myrtales, Myrtaceae. The transcript has 3 exons.